This 97-nucleotide transfer RNA is filed under the name Pseudodonghicola xiamenensis. RNAcentral's name for it is "tRNA-Ser". The record is from RNAcentral. Lineage: Bacteria; Pseudomonadati; Pseudomonadota; Alphaproteobacteria; Rhodobacterales; Paracoccaceae.
GACGGCACCUGGCUGGGUAUCCCCAAGCUCUGGUUGCUGAUCGGGGGCGGUGUCAUCCUGUUGCUGCUGGCGCUGAUCGUGGCCGUGGUGAUGUCUC